AUGUAAGCGAACUCACCUUUUUUGUGCACGUCGACGUGGAACUCUUCCGCCGCUCUUGGAUCUGAAACACAAAACGCGUCAUCCAGGUACUCGUAUCGAUACCUACACGUCACUGCUGCGGAGAGUGAAGUUCGAAGUAGUAAUUCAACAUCAAGAUUAUUACACACGUCCAACUAGUGAACGCAAUGAGGGGAUUUAAAACAUUUUCAAUUGCAAAGGAGAAUUAUAUUAUAUAAUUUACGUUUUGAAAAUAUCCAUGUUAACCAGUGUUCUAAUUGAAUAAACUGUAUGAUACAACGUGUAGGCGCCAACAUUUACUACACAUACGAACAAUAGUGUUUUUAAUUUUUAAACUUAUACCGUAAAGUUGAAUAACUCUAGGAACGUACGUAAACGUAAGAAUUAUACAGAACGGUUUAAAUAAAUAAAAUAUUUUGAACAUUA
Long non-coding RNA from Sipha flava (yellow sugarcane aphid), 444 nucleotides. RefSeq lists it as uncharacterized. The transcript is spliced from 2 exons. Lineage: Eukaryota; Metazoa; Arthropoda; Insecta; Hemiptera; Aphididae. The record is from RefSeq and is a predicted model, not a curated record.